UACGUAGGGUGCGAGCGUUGUCCGGAAUUAUUGGGCGUAAAGAGCUCGUAGGCGGUUUGUUGCGUCUAUCGUGAAAACCUGGGGCUUAACCCCGGGCCUGCGGUGGAUACGGGCAGACUUGAGUUCGGUAGGGGAGACUGGAAUUCCUGGUGUAGCGGUGAAAUGCGCAGAUAUCAGGAGGAACACCGGUGGCGAAGGCGGGUCUCUGGACAGUUCCUGACGCUGAGGCACGAAGGCCAGGGGAGCAAACGGG
This 253-nucleotide ribosomal RNA is filed under the name uncultured bacterium. RNAcentral's name for it is "partial 16S ribosomal RNA". It matches the Rfam family "Bacterial small subunit ribosomal RNA", at positions 524 to 776 of the family's 1533-position model. The record is from RNAcentral.